AGCGGAGGAAGAUUCCGUAGGAGCGCCUGCGGAUAUGCAUGUAAAUAAGCGGAGGAAGUCUAUAUGUAACUUCUGAGUAAAACCAUAAAUAAAUCAGAACUUUCAACAACGGAUCUCUUGGUUCUGGCAUCGAUGAAGAACGCAGCAAAAUGCGAUAAGUAAUGUGAAUUGCAGAAUUCAGUGAAUCAUCGAAUCUUUGAACGCACAUUGCGCCCGCCAGUAUUCUGGCGGGCAUGCCUGUUCGAGCGUCAUUUCAACCCUCAAGCACAGCUUGGUGUUGGGACUCGCGUUAAUUCGCGUUCCCCAAAUUGAUUGGCGGUCACGUCGAGCUUCCAUAGCGUAGUAGUAAAACCCUCGUUACUGGUAAUCGUCGCGGCCACGCCGUUAAACCCCAACUUCUGAAUGUUGACCUCGGAUCAGGUAGGAAUACCCGCUGAACUUAAGCAUAUCAAUAGCCGGAGGAAAUCUCCAUCGGCUUAU
This 480-nucleotide ribosomal RNA is filed under the name Fusarium oxysporum. RNAcentral's name for it is "eukaryotic LSU rRNA". The stretch from base 98 to 251 matches the Rfam family "5.8S ribosomal RNA". The record is from RNAcentral. Lineage: Eukaryota; Fungi; Ascomycota; Sordariomycetes; Hypocreales; Nectriaceae.